UGGAUGAUGGAUGGAUGGAUGAUGGAUGGAUGGAUGAACGGAUGAUGGAUGAUGGAUGGAUGGAUGAUGGAUGGAUGGAUGGAUGAUGGAUGGAUGGAUGAUGGAUGGAUGGAUGGAUGGAUGGAUGGAUGAUGGAUGGAUGGAUGGAUGGAUGAUGGAUGGAUGGAUGGAUGAUGGAUGGAUGGAUGGAUGAUGGAUGAUGGAUGGAUGGAUGAUGGAUGGAUGGAUGGAUGGAGGGAUGAUGGAUGGAUGGAUGGAUGGAUGGAUGGAUGGAUGGAUGGAUGGAUGCAAACUGGGAUCCCGUGUGCCAGGAGCUGCUGGGAGCAGUCCCGAGCCAGGAAUUGUCCAGGCCAGCUCCUCUGCUCAGCAGCUGCUGGGAAGAUCCCGCUCGCUCCCUAAAUCUGGGUGCCGAAUUUGGGGAUCUGUGACCAGUGUCCCGAGGAGAACAAGGACUGGACACAAGGUGGUGCCAAGGUCGCUCCUGCCCCUCAUCCUGACCUCGGUUUCCCCACAGGUUUUGCCAUUCCUGGAGGGAAGGAAUUCCAUCGGUGGUGGGAGCUGCUGGAAUCAUCUCAGCGCUGAGGACACCGGGCCGUGCCCAGGGCUGGCACUCAUCCCCUCGGCCAGGGAGCGGCUCCCGAGGCAGGAUUUGUCCCUGGAUGUCUCCUCUGCACCGGGACCCCGAGCCCUGAGCCUCGGCUGGGAUUUGGACGCUCCCUCCCGUCUGCAGCUGGGAACGGCACGGCCGGGAGGCUGCAGGCACCUGCUCCUCCCAAAUCCCGCGGAUUUACUGCUUCUGGCACCUUCCUGCUGGGAAUGGCUCCGUCCCAGGGAAUCUCCCGAGGGACAGAUGUGGGAAAGCAGCACUUAGAGGUUACAAUUCCUUCUUUUUCUGCGCUGCUCCUGAAUCCCGGCUCUGGAGGAGGAAGGAUCCCAUGCACUCCUGGAGGACAAAUCCUGCUGCUCCGAGCCGCCAAAUGAGCUCUGCAGGAAAUGCCUCAUUCCUCACGGUGUCCAAACUUUCCUUUGGAUCCCCCGGGAACCAGAUCCAGCUCUCCGUGCCCAUCCCUGGCUCUGCUCCGUGUCCGUGGGAUGAGGAUGAGGAUGGGGAUGAUGUCUGGGACGGCCCCGAUGCUCCCCGGCACCGCAGCUCAUCCCUGCCAGCCGCUGUGGCAAUGAGGAAAUUGUGGAUUUCCCAUCCCUGCAAUGCCCAAGGCCAGCCUGGGGUAGUGGAAGGUGUCCCUGCCCAUGGCAGGGGUGGGAUGGGAAUUGUCCUGCUCCGAGGGAGAGCUUUUCCCACCUUGCAGAGCGCCAGGAUAGGACAGCAGGAGCUGUCGCUUCCCAGAUUUCUGCUGGAAUGCCGUCAGAGCCUCCUGCUGCGGCUGCUGAGCGCUCAGGGGGGAUUAGCGGUGUUUUACAGCCUCCCUUUCCCAAAUCCUCUGCUCCAUCCCAGCCCCGCAUCCCCAGCUGGAUCCUCCCUGCCUGCCCCUUGUCAGGAUCACGGUGCUGCUCCCACUUCUCCCCAUUUCCCUCGGGAUUUGGGAAUGCGCUGCUCACACAUCCCCGUGCGCUCCUCCUCUCCCGCCCCUCAAAUGCCUUUGCCAUUCCCAAUUUAUUCAUUUCCCGGAGGGGAUUUGUUAUUCAUUUCCCGGAGGGGAUUUGCUGGGGACGAAACAUUCCGGCUCCUGCGGGAGCCGCAGCGGUGCUGGGGAGGCUCCGCUGCCUUUUCC
This is a long non-coding RNA of Cyanistes caeruleus (blue tit), 1730 nucleotides long. Lineage: Eukaryota; Metazoa; Chordata; Aves; Passeriformes; Paridae. The record is from Ensembl.